GACGAACGCUGGCGGCGCGCUUAACACAUGCAAGUCGAACGGAAAGGCCUGCUUUCCCUUGUGGAUUGCGGGUACUCGAGUGGCGAACGGGUGAGUAACACGUGAGUGAUCUGCCCCCAACUUGGGUAUAAGCCUGGGAAACUGGGUCUAAUUCCCGAUAGGACUGCAGGGUGGUGCCUGUGGUGGAAAACGAUUUUCUAGUGGUUGGGGAUGAGCUCGCGGCCUAUCAGCUUGUUGGUGGGGUAAUGGCCUACCAAGGCGGCGACGGGUAGCCGGCCUGGGAGGGUGGACGGCCACAUUGGGACUGAGAUACGGCCCAGACUCCUACGGGAGGCAGCAGUGGGGAAUAAUGCACAAUGGGCGGAAGCCUGAUGCAGCGACGCCGCGUGGGGGAUGACGGCCUUCGGGUUGUAAACUCCUUUCGACCGCGAGGAAGCCACCUGGUUGGAAGGGUGGUGACGGUAGUGGUAGAAGAAGCACCGGCUAACUACGUG
Molecule: ribosomal RNA, 494 nt
Filed under: uncultured bacterium
Lineage: Bacteria
Description: partial 16S ribosomal RNA
Rfam family: Bacterial small subunit ribosomal RNA
Source: RNAcentral